Ruminococcus sp. CAG:17 is the source of this 73-nucleotide non-coding RNA. The record is from Rfam. NCBI's taxonomy places the organism in Bacteria, Bacillati, Bacillota, Clostridia, Eubacteriales, Oscillospiraceae.
GCUGCUGUGGCUCAGUCGGUAGAGCGUCGCCUUGGUAAGGCGGAGGUCACGGGUUCGAUUCCCGUCAGCAGCU